AACAAUCCAGCAAGGUUUUGUGAAAACAUAUUUUAAUGAAACCAAAUUACGCAGUGUCCGUGGAUUGCAUGUUUACUUUUGUGUGGGCCUAUUUUCUUUAUAUCACCUUAUUAUGGAUGGCAUGGUUGUGUGUCUCCAUCUAUCACGAGGUUUGGCUAGAGGGCUGUGUCAGAGGUCACGGCGGUAUGGUUUUCAUGAUUUCACACAAAACGUCUAAACUGCCUUAUAUGCUAUUUAGACAGGGCUUAGUCGGUGUUAAAAUUGUGCGCGUUCACUCCGUUAAGAACAAUGCGGACAUUGUGAGGGCAUGUAUUGGGUGUAGCGAAACACAGCAUCUAGACUACAGCUAAUCUGUUCGCGGCAAAGCUGACAUAAUUAUCCUAAGCUGCCUUUCUACAAAAUCAUUGAGGAAUUCAAAACUUUUCCUUUUUUUAUUUUUUUUUAGAUUUUUACAUUCCAGACCAUCCGUUUGGGUCUUUGUCCUUCUCGGUGGCAAGGCGAGACCCUUAACAUUUGUCAUUUGUUUGUGUCAGUGGUUAUCGUUGAUUGCCCGGGAAAUGUGUAUGUCCUGUUUAUCAAAGAUAGUAAUUAUGUUAAUUUGCAGAUUUGUGCGUUUGUGUUUUUGUGCCUGUGUGCGUGCUAGCGUGUGUGGAUGCGUGUGUAUAUGACAUGGAGAGAAAGGAGGGUGGAGGUUGAUCUAGCUGGAAUCGCUGGGGCAGGUUGUGUCUCCAGGAUCAAACCUGUUUGCUCUCCUGUCAUACGAAACUCUGCUGAAGUAAUUCCAAGUGGCACUUGAAUCGGUCUUGUUGGAAAGCUUGUUGGACUGAAAAUAACCCGCGGUAUUUCAAGGCUGGCCGUGGUCCUGGUGUAAAAAAAAUCUCUCUCUCUCUUCCUCACUCGCUCUCUCUCUCUCUCUGCCAAUAUUGUGAAGAGGAGCUGGACUAGUAUGUAAAUACUUCAGGGCCCGAACCGCCAGGUGUGCUCUACGUUUAUUAUGGCACUGAGUUGAGGGGUUUACAUGCAGAAUAGAUUAUGGUCCAUUAUGGACGAAGCCUUGGAGGCAGCUCGGAAAUUAGCUGUUUGGGUGAAGUGUAAAGUCUGAAUUGGUUUGCAAAGCCACUGGUCAUUCACAUUCUUUACCAUAGCUUUUGUUUGCGUUAAGCGUGUAAUUAACACCACCAAACAAGUUUAUUCACCUGCCCUAAUUGUCUGUUUAUCCGGGAGCUGUUAAUUCUCUUCGCUUAGCGAUAACCAGCGGGAGACAGCCUACUCAAUGCCGACGAACUAUUAGCUCCGUCUUUGUUUACUUACUGCGAAGCCGCCGACAUUAUAAUGUCGACCAUGGUUUAGGCUGAUGCUCGACUGACAUCAUAGCAAAUACCCGUUGUCAGUGACGUUUCACGCGCUCCAGUGAUUUUUGGAGGCGCUUUCGAAACAUACACCUUGCCACUUUGCUGCAACGGCUUUUAUCAUAUCCCCGGCUUAAUCUGUAUUUAAAGUAAAAUAAACAAAAGUGUUGCGUCACAGCGCAAGAGGGAGGCUAAAUGGACAGUGGCUGGUGGAAAAGGACUCUUCACCUUCAAGUAACAAUGAAACCCCGUGACCCUGAAUAUCUGCCCGACCCUGCUUUUGUCCCGUCCGAAGGUGGAUAUGCUUCCCAAAUCCUCACCGGCUUUGAACCGUACCCACAUUUCUCUACACCAAGACAUGGCUUUAAACGCAGAACAUCUCUUCGUAGAAAAUUCGCCGCUCACCUUUUUGAGUCCUCUGGCGAGCAUUUCAGAAAGAAACAGUGAGUAGUUUGUUAAAACAUUUAGAAUUGUGUUAAGCCAUGACGAGAUAAACAUGCUCAGUUAUGAUCAUCUUACUGCAUUAUUAAAGGCUAAAGGUAAAUACGAUCACAAUUAUAGCAACUUACAGUUGCCUAUGUGUUCAUGCAGUGGCAGGUUAUUCGCAGCAGUAUUGUAAUUCUGUCUAUCUAAAUGUGGAUAAUUAUUCUAAACAAACCUCUGCAGUUUUCUUUCUGUAAUGUGACAAGCUUGAGAUAAAACUAUCAACAGAAUUCAGUUUCACAUUGUUAAGUAGCAUAAUUAAGAGCAUUUCCUGUGGGAAAAAAAAUGUUGAUUUACAAAAAAGAUCUCUUCCUGAGACGUCCAAACUAUUCGCAAGUAAAGAUUUUUUCCUGAA
Long non-coding RNA from Clupea harengus (Atlantic herring), 2187 nucleotides. RefSeq lists it as uncharacterized. NCBI's taxonomy places the organism in Eukaryota, Metazoa, Chordata, Actinopteri, Clupeiformes, Clupeidae. The record is from RefSeq and is a predicted model, not a curated record.